This 651-nucleotide ribosomal RNA is filed under the name Lispe orientalis. RNAcentral describes it as "partial 12S ribosomal RNA". Lineage: Eukaryota; Metazoa; Arthropoda; Insecta; Diptera; Muscidae. The record is from RNAcentral.
CCCUAUUAUUAAAAAUGUAAUAAAAAAAUUAAGAUAGUAAUAGUUAUGUUCUUGAAACUUAAAAAAUUUGGCGGUAUUUUAGUCUAUUCAGAGGAACCUGUCUUAUAAUCGAUAAUCCACGAUGGACCUUACUUAAAUUUGUAUAGUUUAUAUACCGUCGUUAUUAGAAUAUUUUAAAAGAAUAAUAAUUUUCAUAAUUUUUAAAUUAAAAAUAUAUCAGAUCAAGGUGUAGCUAAUAUUUAAGAAAAGAUGGGUUACAAUAAAUUUAUUUAUACGAAUAUAAAUAUGAAAAAUUUAUUAAAGGAGGAUUUGAUAGUAAAAUUAUAAAGAUUAAUAAUUUGAUUUUAGCUCUAAAAUAUGCACAUAUCGCCCGUCGCUCUUAUUAUUAAGGUAAGAUAAGUCGUAACAUAGUAGAUGUACUGGAAAGUGUAUCUAGAAUGCAAUUUAAAGCUUUUUUAGUAAAGUAUUUCAUUUACAUUGAAAUGAUUAUUGUGCAAUUCAAUAUAAAUUGAUUAAAUUUUAUUUAUUUAUUUAUUUAUAAUUUUAUAUAAUUUAUUAAAAAUAAUUAUUAAAUUUUUUGUUUAAGUAUUUUAUUAAGAAAAAAUAAAUUUUAUUAUAGUUUAUUAGUAUUGUGAAAGAAAAUUGAAAUAU